UGACGACUCUCGGCAACGGAUAUCUCGGCUCUCGCAUCGAUGAAGAACGUAGCGAAAUGCGAUACUUGGUGUGAAUUGCAGAAUCCCGUGAACCAUCGAGUCUUUGAACGCAAGUUGCGCCCCAAGCUGUUAGGCUGAGGGCACGUCUGCCUGGGUGUCACG
RNAcentral lists this ribosomal RNA (162 nucleotides) under Zieria minutiflora subsp. trichocarpa. RNAcentral describes it as "5.8S ribosomal RNA". It matches the Rfam family "5.8S ribosomal RNA". From Rfam's summary of the family: 5.8S ribosomal RNA (5.8S rRNA) is a component of the large subunit of the eukaryotic ribosome. It is transcribed by RNA polymerase I as part of the 45S precursor that also contains 18S and 28S rRNA. Functionally, it is thought that 5.8S rRNA may be involved in ribosome translocation. RNAcentral also lists the same sequence under 1 other name. Lineage: Eukaryota; Viridiplantae; Streptophyta; Magnoliopsida; Sapindales; Rutaceae. The record is from RNAcentral.